This 279-nucleotide ribosomal RNA is filed under the name uncultured bacterium. RNAcentral's name for it is "partial 16S ribosomal RNA". It matches the Rfam family "Bacterial small subunit ribosomal RNA", at positions 506 to 784 of the family's 1533-position model. The record is from RNAcentral.
UGCCAGCAGCCGCGGUAAUACGAAGGGGGCAAGUGUUAUUCGGAAUUAUUGGGCGUAAAGGGUACGUAGGUGGUUUAUAAAGUUAGGUGUUAAAGCCCAAUUUUUAGGAUUGGUUUUACAUUUAAUACUUAUAAACUUGAGUUAAAAAGGGGAUAAUGGAAUUUUUAGUGUAGAGGUGGAAUUUGUAAAUAUUAGAAGGACCUCCAAUAGCGAAGGCAAUUAUCUGGUUUUAAACUGACACUGAGGUACGAAAGCAUGGGGAGCAAACAGGAUUAGAUA